RNAcentral lists this long non-coding RNA (1307 nucleotides) under Marmota monax (woodchuck). Lineage: Eukaryota; Metazoa; Chordata; Mammalia; Rodentia; Sciuridae. The record is from RNAcentral.
GCCCCUGGGGUGGGAGCAGGCGGGAGAGCCCGUGGUCCCAGCUGCUGGCGGGAAUGGUCUGGCUGGUCCUCCUGCCCGGGUGGGUCAGGAGUUGAACCCGGGUCCCUGCCCUGCAGGGCUGCCACAAGAUCCCCUCUGAGCGACCAUGACUGAUAAUCUGCCUCCGCCUCUCUGGGCGCAAGGGUGUUGUCACAGAUGAUGGCAGGAUUAGGCACCAAGCCAAAGCCAGUGCUGGAAUCCACGCCCUGGCCAGCCCCGCCCACAGCCUCAGCCCCCUCUGGGAGCUCAUGGAGGAGCUGCCACUGGAAGGGAUGGUGGGGGCUGCUUCCCCCAUGUCCGAGGCCACCCAAGGAGGGGCCUGGAGCAUGAGCUACUCUGUGCCUGGACCCUCCCCUCUGACCUGCAUCUCCAGGCAGGGGCAGGGCUGUGCCUGGGAAGUGGGGUUUGCCGCUUAGGGGCUGGUGUGCCCUAACAGAGGAAGCGGUGGUGUCACUAGUGAACACCUUCCCAGAUCCCCCAGAAACACAGAAACAAACCCUUCAGCUUGUAAAGGUCUUCAACUUUGCGUGGUGUAAAAGCAACACGCGUCCCACGGAGACCACACGCUGCAUUUUGAUCUUCCCCUGGGGCUAGCGAGACCCAGCGGCCUGCUCAGUGCCCACGCUCCUGGGCAGCCCUGGGGCCACGGGAAGAGGAAAGGAGGGUGCUCACAGCAUUCUGUGGGGCUGAGCUAUGUGGUCAGUAGCGCCAAUGUACCAGGUAUAUUUUUGACUUACUAUAUUUUCAGUUCACAAUGGAUUUUUCAGGGCACAAUCCCCUCAUAAAUUGGCGAGCAUCUGUAUCAGAUACCUUGAUUUUAGCUCAGAGGGACAAAUUCUGCCAUAAAUUCAGCUUCUCCUGAAAAGGACUGCAUUGGGAAACUUAAAACAUUUCUAAAAAAGACAUGAGUUGAGAAGGAAUCAAUGGAAAAGUUUCAAAGUCUUAAAAACUGAGCAAUCGUUCAAAAUGUACAUUAUGUGGGGGUGGGGCUGGGGCUCAGUGGCAGAAUGCUGGUGAGGCCCUGGGUUCGACCCUCAGCAUCACAUAAAAAUAAACAAAAUAAAGGCAUCCUGUCCAUCUAUAACUACAAAAAAACUUUAAAAAUGUACAUUAUGUGUUGAAACCUGAGGUGCAGCCAAAAUGGUAUAUAGAGGACAAAUCAUAGUCUUGAAUACACAAUGAGAAAACGUUUGAAAAGACAUGAACUUAAGAGAGAAAUGGGACUGGAAUUGUUGGUACAGCCUUGUGUAGCAUGCACACGACUCUGG